RNAcentral lists this ribosomal RNA (264 nucleotides) under Bacillus pumilus. Its description in RNAcentral is "partial 16S ribosomal RNA". It matches the Rfam family "Bacterial small subunit ribosomal RNA", at positions 1269 to 1532 of the family's 1533-position model. The record is from RNAcentral. Lineage: Bacteria; Bacillati; Bacillota; Bacilli; Caryophanales; Bacillaceae.
CAAUCCCACAAAUCUGUUCUCAGUUCGGAUCGCAGUCUGCAACUCGACUGCGUGAAGCUGGAAUCGCUAGUAAUCGCGGAUCAGCAUGCCGCGGUGAAUACGUUCCCGGGCCUUGUACACACCGCCCGUCACACCACGAGAGUUUGUAACACCCGAAGUCGGUGAGGUAACCUUUUGGAGCCAGCCGCCGAAGGUGGGACAGAUGAUUGGGGUGAAGUCGUAACAAGGUAGCCGUAUCGGAAGGUGCGGUUGGAUCACCUCCAU